GACUCCGCUCCGUAGCUCGGCGGACAGAUCGCCAGGGUGCGGCGGCGGGGAACCCCGGUUCGAAGCCGGCCGGAUCCGCCGCUCCCGAUGCGCCGGCCCCGCAUCCACGGCCCGCGAGGUCGAGACCCAGCCGCGACCCCGGAUACGGAGGGGAGUCUUU
Molecule: non-coding RNA, 160 nt
Filed under: Simian adenovirus 49
Lineage: Varidnaviria; Bamfordvirae; Preplasmiviricota; Pharingeaviricetes; Rowavirales; Adenoviridae
Source: RNAcentral